This 125-nucleotide small RNA is filed under the name Marmota monax (woodchuck). The record is from RNAcentral. Lineage: Eukaryota; Metazoa; Chordata; Mammalia; Rodentia; Sciuridae.
GCCGGGCGCCGUGGCUCACGCCUGUAAUCCCAGCGGCUGGGGAGGCUGAGGCAGGAGGAUGUUGAGUUCAAAGCCAGCCUCAGCAACAGCAAGGCCCUAAGCAAUUCAGCGAGACCCUGUCUCUA